AUUGAACGCUGGCGGCAGGCCUAACACAUGCAAGUCGAGCGGAUGAAGGGAGCUUGCUCCUGGAUUCAGCGGCGGACGGGUGAGUAAUGCCUAGGAAUCUGCCUGGUAGUGGGGGAUAACGUCCGGAAACGGGCGCUAAUACCGCAUACGUCCUGAGGGAGAAAGUGGGGGAUCUUCGGACCUCACGCUAUCAGAUGAGCCUAGGUCGGAUUAGCUAGUUGGUGGGGUAAAGGCCUACCAAGGCGACGAUCCGUAACUGGUCUGAGAGGAUGAUCAGUCACACUGGAACUGAGACACGGUCCAGACUCCUAGGGGAGGCAGCAGUGGGAAAUAUUGGACAAUGGGCGAAAGCCUGAUCCAGCCAUGCCGCGUGUGUGAAGAAGGUCUUCGGAUUGUAAAGAACUUUAAGUUGGGAGGAAGGGCAGUAAGUUAAUACCUUGCUGUUUUGACGUUACCAACAGAAUAAGCACCGGCUAACUUCGUG
This 484-nucleotide ribosomal RNA is filed under the name uncultured bacterium. Its description in RNAcentral is "partial 16S ribosomal RNA". It matches the Rfam family "Bacterial small subunit ribosomal RNA", at positions 30 to 507 of the family's 1533-position model. The record is from RNAcentral.